CAGCAGCCGCGGGAAUACGUAGGGUGCAAGCGUUAAUCGGAAUUACUGGGCGUAAAGCGUGCGCAGGCGGUUAUAUAAGACAGAUGUGAAAUCCCCGGGCUCAACCUGGGAACUGCAUUUGUGACUGUAUAGCUAGAGUACGGCAGAGGGGGAUGGAAUUCCGCGUGUAGCAGUGAAAUGCGUAGAUAUGCGGAGGAACACCGAUGGCGAAGGCAAUCCCCUGGGCCUGUACUGACGCUCAUGCGCGAAAGCGUGGGGAGCAAACAGGAUUAGAUACCCCAGUAGUCCCUGUCUCUUAUAC
RNAcentral lists this ribosomal RNA (301 nucleotides) under uncultured bacterium. RNAcentral's name for it is "partial 16S ribosomal RNA". It matches the Rfam family "Bacterial small subunit ribosomal RNA", at positions 509 to 807 of the family's 1533-position model. The record is from RNAcentral.